This is a long non-coding RNA of Carcharodon carcharias (great white shark), 1628 nucleotides long. RefSeq lists it as uncharacterized. Lineage: Eukaryota; Metazoa; Chordata; Chondrichthyes; Lamniformes; Lamnidae. The transcript is spliced from 5 exons. The record is from RefSeq and is a predicted model, not a curated record.
UAACUGUAUUCCCCGCCGCAGAUGCCGUCAGACAUCCUGUGUUUUUCCAGGUCCUGUACUUUGUACGCAAGCACGGCUUGGAUUUGGAUUUGGAAUUGGAGUUCCGGUUGGUUUUUUUUGUGGAGUUUUGCAUUCUGGAAUUGCGGUUUGCAUAUUCCAAAGGCAACAAAAAUGGCCUGACUAAAGAUAAACCGAUGCUGAAAUGAAUGGAUCUACAGUCUGAUGUUUAAUGACUCUGGUAGUCACUGCCCGAACAGAGGUGCUGCUGUCUGCAGGCAAGCGACCUCAAACACCUGUCCCGACCACGCCUGUACCAACCACACCUGUACCGACCAUGCCUGUACCAGAUUCUGGACUCACUACUGGAGCAAGAGUGGGAUUGGGAAUCUGAAUUCUUGUUUUUGCCGUUGCUAUAAUUACUGGUUUUCCGAUCUGAAAGCGACAAAGAUGGUGAGUUCUAGAAUGUUCCACAGCUCCCGUGGCUAAUUCUAGUUUUGUAUUAUUACAUUUUAGUGUUGUGGAAAUAUUGUAUACAGCGAUACACUUCGAGCUGUGAGGGAUGCUUCAGUGCUGCAUUAUUCAGUCACUUCCAGCUUGUUGUCACCCUCGAGCUGCUGAACUGACGGUGAAGAGCAACAAUGUGCGGCUCCCUCUAUCACACAGACACUCGCCAAUUCUCUGUACCAAACAACUCACCAGCCGACACCUAAAAUCCCCUUGGCCUCUCUCGUCUGACUUUUCUCCACCCUCUGAUCCUUGCUCUGUUCCCCAGUCACUGAUUCCAUCAACCCCCCUGUCCACUGAGGCUGAACCAGAGCUGAAUUUCCGACCCUAUUUCCUCUCCAUCACUAAGACUACCUCCCUCCAGCUCUGUGACAUCCCCUGUCUCUGACCCUGUAUCAGCUCAUCUGCUGCUCAAACCCUGCAACAUAUCAUUGUUACCACUCACAUUGACUAUUCCAAUGCUCCCUGAGCCCGGAUACCCAUCAUGGACCCUCUGUCAACUUUGGCUCAUCGAAAACUCUGCUGCCCCAUAUCCUAACUUACUCCAUGUCCUGUUCACCCACCACACCCUCUGCUCACUCACCUACAUUUAUCCCCCUCUUCAAAUUCCUCUAUGGCCUCAGCCCCUCCUUAACCCUUUUAACUCCUCCUUUCCCGACAGCCUUUGAGGUGCCUGUGCUCAUCUAUCUGGCCUCCUGACCAUCCCCGGACUUCCAUCACUACACCUUUGGCGGCUGUGAUGUCAGCUGCCUGGGCCCUGAGCUCUGGAAUUCCCUCCCUAAACCUCUCCUUUUCAGACCCUCUUUAAAACUGCUUGGGGGCAGCCACCUCAAAACUGCAAUGGGGAGAGGUCGCUGUCUGAGACCUUUCAGCCAGAGUGCACCAAGGGUCUGGGAAUUGUAUAGACCCCUGGGGCUAUAUGACUCACAUGGAAUGUACACAGUGAAUACUAAAUGUGUCAUAAUUCUACUGAACCACCUCAGAGUGACAUGAUGUAUGUCGAUAACUUGAAUAGCUUUGCACUGUCUGACUCUCUGUCGUGACCAUAUUGAAAUGUCUGUGAUAUUGAUUCUAUUGAAAGACCUCAUGACCCAUGUGGAAAACUGGAACAUGAUUGCACUUCU